UAGCGGCGGAGGGUUGAGUAACACGUGGGCAACCUGCCUAUAAGACUGGGAUAACUUCGGGAAACCGGAGCUAAUACCGGAUACGUUCUUUUCCCGCAUGAGAGAAGAUGGAAAGACGGUUUCGGCUGUCACUUAUAGAUGGGCCCGCGGCGCAUUAGCUAGUUGGUGAGGUAAUGGCUCACCAAGGCGACGAUGCGUAGCCGACCUGAGAGGGUGAUCGGCCACACUGGGACUGAGACACGGCCCAGACUCCUACGGGAGGCAGCAGUAGGGAAUCUUCCGCAAUGGACGAAAGUCUGACGGAGCAACGCCGCGUGAGCGAAGAAGGCCUUCGGGUCGUAAAGUUCUGUUGUUAGGGAAGAACAAGUACCAGAGUAACUGCUGGUACCUUGACGGUACCUAACCAGAAAGCCACGGCUAACUACGUGCCAGCAGCCGCGAUAAUACGUAGGUGGCAAGCGUUAUCCGGAAUUA
Molecule: ribosomal RNA, 474 nt
Filed under: Bacillus sp. LR90
Lineage: Bacteria; Bacillati; Bacillota; Bacilli; Caryophanales; Bacillaceae
Description: bacterial SSU rRNA
Rfam family: Bacterial small subunit ribosomal RNA
Source: RNAcentral